UACGUAGGGGGCUAGCGUUGUCCGGAAUCAUUGGGCGUAAAGAGCGCGUAGGCGGCUAGAUAAGUCCGGUGUGAAAGUCACAGGCUCACCCUGUGAAUGCCGCUGGAAACUGUCUGGCUAGAGUCCGGAAGGGGCGAGUGGAAUUCCUGGUGUAGCGGUGAAAUGCGCAGAUAUCAGGAGGAACACCAAUGGCGAAGGCAGCUCGCUGGGACGGUACUGACGCUGAGGCGCGAAAGCGUGGGGAGCAAACAGG
This 253-nucleotide ribosomal RNA is filed under the name uncultured bacterium. RNAcentral describes it as "partial 16S ribosomal RNA". It matches the Rfam family "Bacterial small subunit ribosomal RNA", at positions 524 to 776 of the family's 1533-position model. The record is from RNAcentral.